UUCCCAUCGCCGUCAGACGGCUCGCUGCCCGGCCAGCAGGCCCGCUUCGGCUCGGCCGGCGCCGCCCCACCCAUGCGCAGCUACGGCUCGCCCGGAUACGCGGGGAUGCCCGCCCAGCACGGCCAGUUCCCGUCCAGCAGCACCCAGAACAUGAUGCAGCGCUCGGGGGGCAGCAUGGUGCAGAACCAGUACCCGCCGAGCCGGGCGCCCGCCAUGCCUAGCGGCGGCAAGCGCUCCUCGGACGCGCGC
Molecule: long non-coding RNA, 249 nt
Organism: Pollicipes pollicipes
Lineage: Eukaryota; Metazoa; Arthropoda; Thecostraca; Pollicipedomorpha; Pollicipedidae
Exons: 3
Source: RefSeq, a predicted model, not a curated record